ACAGCCACAUCAAGUUGAAACAUCGAUUCUCAUCCGAUCACUGACGUUAAGCAACGCCGAGCCUGGUUAUUUCCUAGAUGGGUGACUGCUUGAAAAUACCAGGUACUGUAAG
Molecule: non-coding RNA, 112 nt
Organism: Acanthosepion pharaonis
Lineage: Eukaryota; Metazoa; Mollusca; Cephalopoda; Sepiida; Sepiidae
Source: the annotation of a GenBank genome assembly